GCCAGACUUUGCCGUUCUGUUGCAAGAAGACACCUGAGGGUUUCUCACUGAACACAAGGACACUUGGGGGAUGACCUGCUGUUAUUGUGCUGUAAAGAAGGAUGAUAAGGAGAACUUGGAGACAUAUUGUGAUGGUCUUUGCAGCUCCCCCUGCAACGAGCUGCAUCCUUUUCUGAUGCAUGCUAAUUUAUAAAUAGACACGAUUCCACAACUCGGAGAAAGCUUUAGUCUCUCCUUGUACUUGAUAUAUGUGAUACUCUGCAGUAGAGAACAGAUAUUUGUACCAGAUUCUGCUCCCAUGGAAAUGGGCAGAAGAAGACUCAGAGGCAAGGGGUGAAAUAGCAUCAGGGUUAUCUCUUGUCCUCAGCUCAGAGGUCCUAUUACAGCCAGUCUGAAAGGCCAGGAGACGCCCUUGGAUUUAGCAGCACAGUCUCGAGUGUAUGCGUGUGUCUCUGCUCAAGAUGAACAUCCUGUUGUUUGCAGAGUCCAGUUACAGCUAAAGCUAAAAAAAAGUAUCUGUCUGCAUAAACAGGAAUUUUCCUCAAUUGCAGGAGCCAGCAGAGGACACUGCUUUGUCUCUGUCUCUGAAAGGGCUGAGUAAUGUUUUGUUUGUUUGUUUUGUACUUUUUGCUGCCUUCCUCCAGCUCCAUGACUUUGGUGGCGCCUUUGGCAGAAGAACAGUUGCCAUUGCUUCCAUUUUAUCCGUAUCCACCAGAGGAUUUUGUUUUCCAGACUGUUUGCUGCUGCUGAAGCCAUAGCAAUAAUGCUCCUGGUACAGCUUUACUUAAGGGAGGGAAGAAACAAAACCACAUGACAAAUUGGUCCAAUUUAUCACAGCAACAGAAACCUGCAAUUCAGCUCAAUCGCCCCCACAGGCCAGCUUAGACAGCAUCAAUAUUUAAUGACCUGAGUGCCACUGCCUUCACAGCUUGGGCUCCACAACUGCCCCUUGUUGCGGGUACCCCCCAGGAACAUCACCCCACUAGUGUGGAGAGCACCCCCAGAAUUCCUCUGGGUGAGAAGGUCUGCCUUCAGCCUGCCAAGUCAAGUCUGCUUGCUACCCAAAGGGGCACAGUCCAGACCUGCUGGGUAUGACCAAACUCUGCCCCUUUUUCCUGCCUGGCUCGACCGCCCGUGCCAUAGGUUUAUGCCCAAGUAACAGCUCUAGGCUUUCUGGGCAUGCCUGGGAUCUGUGGCAAACAGGAAAGCAGGAGUAGGACUGGACCACUGCAGCUCCUGGCCUCUCCUACAGUCUUUUUUUGGGUGAUUGUUUAACACAGACAGGACUGUUCACUUGGUAGCAAGCUGGAGGUGGCUUCUGUUCAGCUGUUUAUGUCUGUUCCCAUUAUUAAGGCAGGAGUAUUCUAUUCCAAAAGGAGCUGCAGUGAAAUAAAAUGCCAGAAACAUGUCCUGCACACAGUGCAGAAAGACUUGAAAAGAGGGUGAGUCAAGCUAUGCCAAAUCUCUCCCACUGUGAGCCAAGCGGGGCAUCAGAGGAGGUUUGGGAGUCUCUUUUACUGGGCCCAGGCUCUGAACUGGCCACAGCAAUUGGCAUCCAAGAACCUCUCCCAGCUCCACCCCAGCAUGUGGCCCCUUUUGGGCUUGCUCUGCCUGGGACAGUAACAGGAACAAGUGACAGGUUAUACAGCUAUAUAUAACCAUAAGCAUGUUCCCUCAUGGCUUUCUUUCCUGUUUCCCUAGUCUGUAAAAUGGAUGUGACUGCAAUCUCCUGGUGACAAGCACAAAGUAAAACAAAGCAUUUUUAUCAGAGCUGUGGUGGAGCAGAGGAAUUUGUGUUGCUGGACCAGCAACUUGAAUUCCUCCAGCAAAACAGCAUCUUUCACUAGGUUCUCUGUUCACUUGAAAAUCCCCAUGAUUUAGCAAAUUGCAUAUUCCAAAGGGGGAGUUCAUUAUCCACUCCACUGGCAGUGAGUGGCAGAGGCCAUUACAAUAAAUGGCAUUUUGGGAAGAUGGCUCUCUAACUCACUUGGUAUUAACACUGGCUGUGGGGGCUCAGCUCUAUGUAAGAUACAUUCAGCAACGCCCUUUUGUGAUCAUCUCCCUGUGCUAAGGAGCUGUUAGAAUAAGGGUGAUUAGGAAUAAACCUAAGAGCAGAGGUUUCUGCACCAAAAUAGUUUGGGCCAGAGGCUGCAUGGCCAAGGGGAUGAUGGUGUGUAAAGAAGACUCAGGUAUUUAGAAGGGAAAAGCUGGCUUGCUGCAGUUUGUCCAGAGAUGCUGGACCAUUUCCAGUGCCAGAGCUUGGCUGCUGAGGGAUAGCUUCCAUCCCCUGGAGCACCUGGUGACUGCCCCCAGACCCUCUGCUCUUGUAGUUAUAGGGCACCUGUCUUGUUAUGGCCAUGGCUCAAAACUAACCAGCAGAACUGUGCAGAAUAAUAUGUAACUCAACAGACACCUAGAAGCGCCCUAGCAAAUACUAAAUGGAUGGUUCCAUCAGUUAACUGUCCAAGAAAGGAAUUGUAAGCCAAUUCAGUGCAUUCCAAAUCACAGCUCUGUGAAAAAAAGUUAACACAGAGCACAGCUCUUCCUCCUGGCAGCCAUCCAGUUAUUAAUUUCCAUGUAUCAGCUGCAUCUGAAUGGGCUUGGUCUUCCGCCCACUGUUUCUAUUUAUUUGUUUUCCAUUCAUCUCCACUAAAAUUAAAAACUCAAAGCCUUCCAGAGAGAAUGGAAAACAAACAUGCUGAACCAAUACUGCUACCCACAUACAACCAGCAGAAACCAUGGCACUUUUUCCUCCUUUGCAGUGAGGCAAGAUCUAAUUUUUAAAGCUCUGGUCUUUCACCUGAAAAA
This is a non-coding RNA of Cyanistes caeruleus (blue tit), 2808 nucleotides long. Lineage: Eukaryota; Metazoa; Chordata; Aves; Passeriformes; Paridae. The record is from RefSeq and is a predicted model, not a curated record.